UACGUAGGGGGCGAGCGUUGUCCGGAUUUAUUGGGCGUAAAGAGCUCGUAGGCGGCUUGGCAAGUCGGGUGUGAAACCUCCAGGCUCAACCUGGAGACGCCACUCGAUACUGCCAUGGCUAGAGUCCGGUAGGGGACCACGGAAUUCCUGGGUGUAGCGGUGAAAUGCGCAGAUAUCAGGAGGAACACCGGUGGCGAAGGCGGUGGUCUGGGCCGGCACUGACGCUGAGGAGCGAAAGCGUGGGUAGCAAACAGG
RNAcentral lists this ribosomal RNA (255 nucleotides) under uncultured bacterium. Its description in RNAcentral is "partial 16S ribosomal RNA". It matches the Rfam family "Bacterial small subunit ribosomal RNA", at positions 524 to 776 of the family's 1533-position model. The record is from RNAcentral.